AUGGCCAUGGCCUUCACAGACCUGCUGGAUGCUCUGGGCGGCAUGGGCCGCUUCCAGCUCAUCCACAUGGCCCUGCUGCUGCUGCCCUGCGGCCUGCUGGCCUGCCACAACUUCCUGCAGAACUUCACGGCCGCUGUCCCCCCCCACCACUGCCGGGGCCCUGCCAACAACACUGAGGCCUCCACCAACGACUCGGGGGCCUGGCUGAGGGCCACCAUACCCCUGGACCAGCUUGGGGCCCCUGAGCCCUGCCGGCACUUCACCAAGCCUCAGUGGGCCCUGCUGAGCCCCAACUCCUCCAUCCCGGGCGCGGCCACGGAGGGCUGCAAGGACGGCUGGGUCUAUAACCGCAGUGUUUUCCCGUCCACCAUCGUGAUGGAGGUCAGAAGGGGCUGGUGCGUGGGGGGGCUGCUGCCGAGGCCCAGUCUGAAGUGCCCAUGUCUUCCCUGCAGUGGGAUCUGGUGUGUGAGGCCCGCACUCUCCGAGACCUGGCGCAGUCUGUCUACAUGGCCGGGGUGCUGGUGGGGGCUGCCGUGUUUGGCAGCUUGGCAGACAGGCUGGGCCGCAAGGGCCCCCUGGUCUGGUCCUACCUGCAGCUGGCAGCUUCGGGGGCCGCCACAGCGUAUUUCAGCUCCUUCAGUGCCUACUGCGUCUUCCGGUUCCUGAUGGGCAUGACCUUCUCUGGCAUCAUCCUCAACUCCCUCUCCCUGUUGUGGAGUGGAUGCCCACACGGGGCCGGACUGUGGCGGGUAUCUUGCUGGGGUAUUCCUUCACCCUGGGCCAGCUCAUCCUGGCUGGGGUAGCCUACCUGAUUCGCCCCUGGCGUUGCCUGCAGUUUGCCAUCUCUGCUCCUUUCCUGAUCUUUUUCCUCUAUUCUUGGUGGCUUCCAGAGUCAUCCCGCUGGCUCCUCCUGCAUGGCAAGUCCCAGUUAGCUGUACAGAAUCUGCAGAAGGUGGCUGCAAUGAACGGCAGGAAGGAGGAAGGGGAAAGGCUGACCAAGGAGGUGGUGAGCUCCUACAUCCAAAGCGAGUUUGCAAGUGUCCGCACCUCCAACUCAAUCUUGGACCUCUUCCGAACCCCGGCCAUCCGCAAGGUCACAUGCUGUCUCAUGGUGAUUUGGUUCUCCAACUCUGUGGCUUACUAUGGCCUGGCCAUGGACCUGCAGAAGUUUGGGCUCAGCCUAUACCUGGUGCAGGCCCUGUUUGGAAUCAUCGACAUCCCGGCCAUGCUGGUGGCCACCGCCACCAUGAUUUACGUGGGCCGCCGGGCCACGGUGGCCUCCUUCCUCAUCCUGGCCGGGCUCAUGGUGAUCGCCAACAUGUUUGUGCCAGAAGGCAUGCAGAUCCUGCGCACAGCCCAGGCAGCGCUGGGCAAAGGCUGCCUGGCCAGCUCCUUCAUCUGUGUGUACCUGUUUACCGGCGAGCUGUACCCCACGGAGAUCAGGCAGAUGGGGAUGGGCUUUGCCUCUGUCCACGCCCGCCUCGGGGGCCUGGCGGCGCCCCUGGUUACCACACUUGGGGAAUACAGCACCAUCCUGCCAACCGUGAGCUUUGGGGCCACCGCAAUCCUGGCUGGGCUGGCCGUCUGCUUCCUGACCGAGACUCGCAACAUGCCCCUGGUGGAGACCAUCGCAGCCAUGGAGAGGAGGGUCAAAGAAGGCUCUUCCAAGAAACAUGUAGAAGAGAAGAGUGAAGAAAUUUCUCUUCAGCAGCUGAGAGCAUCUCCCCUCAAAGAAACCAUCUAA
Molecule: small RNA, 1744 nt
Filed under: Pan troglodytes (chimpanzee)
Lineage: Eukaryota; Metazoa; Chordata; Mammalia; Primates; Hominidae
Description: transcribed unitary pseudogene
Source: RNAcentral